Molecule: ribosomal RNA, 617 nt
Filed under: Lactococcus lactis
Lineage: Bacteria; Bacillati; Bacillota; Bacilli; Lactobacillales; Streptococcaceae
Description: bacterial SSU rRNA
Rfam family: Bacterial small subunit ribosomal RNA
Source: RNAcentral
ACUUGUACCGACUGGAUGAGCAGCGAACGGGUGAGUAACGCGUGGGGAAUCUGCCUUUGAGCGGGGGACAACAUUUGGAAACGAAUGCUAAUACCGCAUAAAAACUUUAAACACAAGUUUUAAGUUUGAAAGAUGCAAUUGCAUCACUCAAAGAUGAUCCCGCGUUGUAUUAGCUAGUUGGUGAGGUAAAGGCUCACCAAGGCGAUGAUACAUAGCCGACCUGAGAGGGUGAUCGGCCACAUUGGGACUGAGACACGGCCCAAACUCCUACGGGAGGCAGCAGUAGGGAAUCUUCGGCAAUGGACGAAAGUCUGACCGAGCAACGCCGCGUGAGUGAAGAAGGUUUUCGGAUCGUAAAACUCUGUUGGUAGAGAAGAACGUUGGUGAGAGUGGAAAGCUCAUCAAGUGACGGUAACUACCCAGAAAGGGACGGCUAACUACGUGCCAGCAGCCGCGGUAAUACGUAGGUCCCGAGCGUUGUCCGGAUUUAUUGGGCGUAAAGCGAGCGCAGGUGGUUUAUUAAGUCUGGUGUAAAAGGCAGUGGCUCAACCAUUGUAUGCAUUGGAAACUGGUAGACUUGAGUGCAGGAGAGGAGAGUGGAAUUCCAUGGGUAUCGG